GAUGAACGCGGGCGGCGUGCCUAACACAUGCAAGUCGAGCGAGGGUUUGCUCAGUAUUGAGUAUUCUAAGUCUAGAAUGUUCAAUUCUGAGCAAAACCAAGCGGCGGACGGGUGAGUAACGCGUGGGUAACCUGCCCUAUACACAUGGAUAACAUACUGAAAAGUUUACUAAUACAUGAUAAUAUAUAUUUGUGGCAUCGCAGAUAUAUCAAAGUGUUAGCGGUAUAGGAUGGACCCGCGUCUGAUUAGCUAGUUGGUGAGAUAACUGCCCACCAAGGCGACGAUCAGUAGCCGACCUGAGAGGGUGAUCGGCCACAUUGGAACUGAGACACGGUCCAAACUCCUACGGGAGGCAGCAGUGGGGAAUAUUGCACAAUGGGCGAAAGCCUGAUGCAGCAACGCCGCGUGAACGAUGAAGGUCUUCGGAUCGUAAAGUUCUGUUGCAGGGGAAGAUAAUGACGGUACCCUGUGAGGAAGCCCCGGCUAACUACGUGCCAGCAGCCGCGGUAAUACGUAGGGGGCUAGCGUUAUCCGGAUUUACUGGGCGUAAAGGGUGCGUAGGUGGUCCUUCAAGUCGGUGGUUAAAGGCUACGGCUCAACCGUAGUAAGCCGCCGAAACUGGAGGACUUGAGUGCAGGAGAGGAAAGUGGAAUUCCCAGUGUAGCGGUGAAAUGCGUAGAUAUUGGGAGGAACACCAGUAGCGAAGGCGGCUUUCUGGACUGCAACUGACACUGAGGCACGAAAGCGUGGGUAGCAAACAGG
Molecule: ribosomal RNA, 762 nt
Filed under: uncultured Peptostreptococcus sp.
Lineage: Bacteria; Bacillati; Bacillota; Clostridia; Peptostreptococcales; Peptostreptococcaceae
Description: bacterial SSU rRNA
Rfam family: Bacterial small subunit ribosomal RNA
Source: RNAcentral